UACGUAGGGCGCAAGCGUUGUCCGGAAUACUGGGCGUAAAGGGCUCGUAGGCGGCCAACUAAGUCCGACGUGAAAUCCCCAGGCUUAACCUGGGAACUGCGUCGGAUACUGGAUGGCUUGAAUUCGGGAGAGGGAUGCAGAAUUCCAGGUGUAGCGGUGAAAUGCGUAGAUAUCUGGAGGAAUACCGGUGGCGAAGGCGGCAUCCUGGACCGACAUUGACGCUGAUGAGCGAAAGCUAGGGGAGCAAACGGG
RNAcentral lists this ribosomal RNA (252 nucleotides) under uncultured bacterium. RNAcentral describes it as "partial 16S ribosomal RNA". It matches the Rfam family "Bacterial small subunit ribosomal RNA", at positions 524 to 776 of the family's 1533-position model. The record is from RNAcentral.